UGCUGGAGGUAUCAGAAGUGCGAAUGCUGACAUAAGUAACGAUAAAGCGGGUGAAAAGCCCGCUCGCCGGAAGACCAAGGGUUCCUGUCCAACGUUAAUCGGGGCAGGGUGAGUCGACCCCUAAGGCGAGGCCGAAAGGCGUAGUCGAUGGGAAACGGGUUAAUAUUCCCGUACUUGGUGUUACUGCGAAGGGGGGACGGAGAAGGCUAUGUUGGCCGGGCGACGGUUGUCCCGGUUUAAGCGUGUAGGUGUGUGUUCCAGGUAAAUCCGGUUCACUUUAACACUGAGGCGUGAUGACGAGGCACUACGGUGCUGAAGCAACAAAUGCCCUGCUUCCAGGAAAAGCCUCUAAGCAUCAGGUAACAUCAAAUCGUACCCCAAACCGACACAGGUGGUCAGGUAGAGAAUACCAAGGCGCUUGAGAGAACUCGGGUGAAGGAACUAGGCAAAAUGGUGCCGUAACUUCGGGAGAAGGCACGCUGACACGUAGGUGAAGUGAUUUACUCACGGAGCUGAAGUCAGUCGAAGAUACCAGCUGGCUGCAACUGUUUAUUAAAAACACAGCACUGUGCAAACACGAAAGUGGACGUAUACGGUGUGACGCCUGCCCGGUGCCGGAAGGUUAAUUGAUGGGGUCAGCGCAAGCGAAGCUCCUGAUCGAAGCCCCGGUAAACGGCGGCCGUAACUAUAACGGUCCUAAGGUAGCGAAAUUCCUUGUCGGGUAAGUUCCGACCUGCACGAAUGGCGUAAUGAUGGCCAGGCUGUCUCCACCCGAGACUCAGUGAAAUUGAACUCGCUGUGAAGAUGCAGUGUACCCGCGGCAAGACGGAAAGACCCCGUGAACCUUUACUAUAGCUUGACACUGAACAUUGAGCCUUGAUGUGUAGGAUAGGUGGGAGGCUUUGAAGCGUGGACGCCAGUCUGCGUGGAGCCGACCUUGAAAUACCACCCUUUAAUGUUUGAUGUUCUAACGUGGACCCGUAAUCCGGGUUGCGGACAGUGUCUGGUGGGUAGUUUGACUGGGGCGGUCUCCUCCUAAAGAGUAACGGAGGAGCACGAAGGUUGGCUAAUCCUGGUCGGACAUCAGGAGGUUAGUGCAAUGGCAUAAGCCAGCUUGACUGCGAGCGUGACGGCGCGAGCAGGUGCGAAAGCAGGUCAUAGUGAUCCGGUGGUUCUGAAUGGAAGGGCCAUCGCUCAACGGAUAAAAGGUACUCCGGGGAUAACAGGCUGAUACCGCCCAAGAGUUCAUAUCGACGGCGGUGUUUGGCACCUCGAUGUCGGCUCAUCACAUCCUGGGGCUGAAGUAGGUCCCAAGGGUAUGGCUGUUCGCCAUUUAAAGUGGUACGCGAGCUGGGUUUAGAACGUCGUGAGACAGUUCGGUCCCUAUCUGCCGUGGGCGCUGGAGAACUGAGGGGGGCUGCUCCUAGUACGAGAGGACCGGAGUGGACGCAUCACUGGUGUUCGGGUUGUCAUGCCAAUGGCACUGCCCGGUAGCUAAAUGCGGAAGAGAUAAGUGCUGAAAGCAUCUAAGCACGAAACUUGCCCCGAGAUGAGUUCUCCCUGAGACUUUAGGUCUCCUGAAGGAACGUUGAAGACGACGACGUUGAUAGGCCGGGUGUGUAAGCGCAGCGAUGCGUUGAGCUAACCGGUACUAAUGAACCGUGAGGCUUAACCUU
RNAcentral lists this ribosomal RNA (1676 nucleotides) under Salmonella enterica subsp. enterica serovar Typhimurium. RNAcentral describes it as "partial 23S ribosomal RNA". It matches the Rfam family "Bacterial large subunit ribosomal RNA", at positions 1271 to 2925 of the family's 2925-position model. Lineage: Bacteria; Pseudomonadati; Pseudomonadota; Gammaproteobacteria; Enterobacterales; Enterobacteriaceae. The record is from RNAcentral.